GGAUUGGAGAAGAGGGGGCCCAUUAAGAGAAAAGCCCUAGAGAUUGGCCUCAGUUUACUCCCUCCCCAAGGGCCCUUCAGUGUCUUCCACUCAGGCCCUGUCAGCCUCCUGUCCUUCCCUCUGGCUCCAGGAGAUCAAAGUACUCCAAAAAUGCAGCUGCUUCAGUGACAAGAGGGAAUUACCUUCUCCCAAGCCUCAGGAUCCUGGUACCCGACUUGCCUGCCCCAGGCUCACUCCCAUUCACACAGUCCUUCAUGGCAGUGUCCAGCUUCACCAGGUCAAAGCUACCUAGAUGUCAUCAUACAAAUUACAGGCUAUGACGUCCACCUCAUUCUCUUUCUGGAAGGCUGACCUUAACUGUCCUGCACAUUCCUUACACAGCAUAUUUGCCCUUUUCCUAUACUAAUAAGCCCUAAAUCUUGGGGGUAACAGCCUGGGGAACUACCUGUCUUGCUACCACUCAAGACCAUACUUCUGUCCACAAAUUCCCCCCAAUAAAUUAUCUUUUACUGACAAA
Molecule: long non-coding RNA, 517 nt
Organism: Homo sapiens (human)
Lineage: Eukaryota; Metazoa; Chordata; Mammalia; Primates; Hominidae
Exons: 2
Source: RefSeq, a predicted model, not a curated record